GACGAACGCUGGCGGCGUGCCUAAUACAUGCAAGUAGGACGCACAGUUUAUACCGUAGCUUGCUACACCAUAGACUGUGAGUUGCGAACGGGUGAGUAACGCGUAGGUAACCUACCUAUUAGAGGGGGAUAACUAUUGGAAACGAUAGCUAAUACCGCAUAACAGUAUGUAACACAUGUUAGAUGCUUGAAAGAUGCAAUUGCAUCGCUAGUAGAUGGACCUGCGUUGUAUUAGCUAGUAGGUAGGGUAAAGGCCUACCUAGGCAACGAUACAUAGCCGACCUGAGAGGGUGAUCGGCCACACUGGGACUGAGACACGGCCCAGACUCCUACGGGAGGCAGCAGUAGGGAAUCUUCGGCAAUGGGGGGAACCCUGACCGAGCAACGCCGCGUGAGUGAAGAAGGUUUUCGGAUCGUAAAGCUCUGUUGUUAAGGAAGAACGAGUGUGAGAAUGGAAAGUUCAUGCUGUGACGGUACUUAACCAGAAAGGGACGGCUAACUACGUGCCAGCAGCCGCGGUAAUACGUAGGUCCCGAGCGUUGUCCGGAUUUAUUGGGCGUAAAGCGAGCGCAGGCGGUUAGAAAAGUCUGAAGUGAAAGGCAGUGGCUCAACCAUUGUAGGCUUUGGAAACUGUUUAACUUGAGUGCAGAAGGGGAGAGUGGAAUUCCAUGUGUAGCGGUGAAAUGCGUAGAUAUAUGGAGGAACACCGGUGGCGAAAGCGGCUCUCUGGUCUGUAACUGACGCUGAGGCUCGAAAGCGUGGGGGAGCGAACAGG
RNAcentral lists this ribosomal RNA (774 nucleotides) under Streptococcus anginosus. RNAcentral describes it as "bacterial SSU rRNA". It matches the Rfam family "Bacterial small subunit ribosomal RNA", at positions 28 to 776 of the family's 1533-position model. Lineage: Bacteria; Bacillati; Bacillota; Bacilli; Lactobacillales; Streptococcaceae. The record is from RNAcentral.